CCCUGAAGGAACGUUAAAGACUAUGACGUUGAUAGGCUGGGUGUGUAAGUGCAGCGAUGCAUUGAGCUAACCAGUACUAAUGAUCCGUGAGGCUUAACCUU
RNAcentral lists this ribosomal RNA (101 nucleotides) under Yersinia enterocolitica. RNAcentral describes it as "partial 23S ribosomal RNA". It matches the Rfam family "Bacterial large subunit ribosomal RNA", at positions 2825 to 2925 of the family's 2925-position model. The record is from RNAcentral. Lineage: Bacteria; Pseudomonadati; Pseudomonadota; Gammaproteobacteria; Enterobacterales; Yersiniaceae.